CAUAAUGGAUCCUCUCUGUGGUGAGGAAGUUGGCACCUGCUCCUCUUUGAACAUCACUGGAGCAGAUUAAUUUUCAUUUCUCUAUGCAUCAGUGAGGCUGGGAUUUUUUACUUUAUGUAGAGAAACCAUUUUUUUUUGCCUCAUUUUUGAAGAUAAGAAUGGAAAGAAAUAUUCUAGGAAGAAAGAAGUACAGACAGAAAAAUUUGUAAAAGGGGAGAUGAAAAUUUAAUCUAGUAUUUAUAAGGACUUGCCAAUGAAGGGAGUUCUUUCUCAUGUUUAUGGAGACUUAUGGAAAGGAUCAUCCCUCAAGUACUCAGAGAUCCUUGAAGGCAAAUGGAAGCCAAGCAAAUUACACUUAACGAAUAGCUUCAGCUGCCUUGCUCUUGGAGAUCCUUCCUGGGGAGUCCGGGGUCACCACAUACACGGCCUGAUUUGCUGAGACCACCAUAUGGGAGGUUCCAGUUGCAGGUGACCUGGGUCCCAGUAGAGUUCACUCUUCCCGUCACCUCUGCUGGGAACAACAUGUGAGGGAACAGUCACUUGAGAAGAGCAUCUUGGUCUAUCCAGGGUCGGCCAGCUUCGCAUGAGUCCCUGCCCAAGUGCCCUCCCAUUGAGAAGACUUGUUCAUUGGAGUCUUUCCUGAAUUCCUGCUCCACGAAUUGGGAGAUAGAAUAAAGUGGUUAUUGUU
Fukomys damarensis (Damara mole-rat) is the source of this 688-nucleotide long non-coding RNA. RefSeq lists it as uncharacterized. The record is from RefSeq and is a predicted model, not a curated record. NCBI's taxonomy places the organism in Eukaryota, Metazoa, Chordata, Mammalia, Rodentia, Bathyergidae. The transcript is spliced from 3 exons.